This 253-nucleotide ribosomal RNA is filed under the name uncultured prokaryote. RNAcentral's name for it is "partial 16S ribosomal RNA". It matches the Rfam family "Bacterial small subunit ribosomal RNA", at positions 524 to 776 of the family's 1533-position model. The record is from RNAcentral.
GACGGGGGAUGCGAGCGUUAUCCGGAAUGAUUGGGCGUAAAGGGUCCGCAGGUGGCCCGGUCAGUCCGCUGUCAAAGCCUGGGGCUCAACCCUGGAAAGGCGGCGGAGACCACCGGGCUUGAGUCCGGUAGGGGCAGAGGGAAUUCCCGGUGGAGCGGUGAAAUGCGUAGAGAUCGGGAGGAACACCAGUGGCGAAGGCGACUUUCUGGUCUGUUCCUGACGCUGAGGAGCGAAAGCCAGGGGAGCGAACGGG